UCAAUUGGACCGGAUCUAUCUUCUUCAUCUUCACCAUGGUAUCUUUACGGCUGAGUUUGUGACGGAGGAGAAACCAGAAUCCGAUUACUGCGAUUUACAUUUCUCCCGAUGGCUUCCACUCUAAUCUCCUCAUCCCUCUCUUCCUCUUUCUUCCCAACCCAAAAUCUCCGCCGCAUUCGAAUCCCGGCGAUUUCAAUUCCCAGAGGUUGCAGUAUUCGCACACGCCGUUCAAAAAUUGUCUCCAAAUCACUCGAUCUUCCACUUCUCCCUUUCAGCAUGAGCGAGGUUCUUGUACCAACGGAGAGUAAAACUUUGCAUUUGUAUGAAGCAAGGUACUUAGCUCUACUUGAAGAGUCAAUGAAAAGGAAGAAGAAUAUGUUUGUUCAUUUCAUCCUGGAUCCUAUUUCAAUUAGUGAGACUGCAACAGAAGCUUCCUUUGCUGCUCGAUACGGCUGCUUGGUACUUAUUGAAAACGUUGAGAGAUUAGACGUUGGUGCACUUGUUUCUAUUAGAGGCGCUGGCCGUGUGAAGAUUUCGCGGUUUUUAGGGGCAGAUCCUUUCUUGUCCGGAGAGGUCAGACCAAUACAAGAUCGUGUGAAUCAUGAGAGCAGAGAUGAAUUAACCUCAAAAGUCUCCCAGCUGAAGGAAACUAUUAUGAAUCUUAAUAGCUUGGAGAUCAAACUUAAGGUGAAAAACCUAGCCAAAAAAAAUAUCUCUCCUUCAUUGUGUUAUACAUGGAUACAACUGUAUCUGUUGUAUCUCUCAUCUUCUCCCCUUGGAUUGUUCAUAGCAAUUAGGCUCCAGCAGACUCACCGCUACAAACUCGUCUCAUCAACUCUCUAAACUGGGCUGAAGAUGAGCCGCCUGUUGAGUGUGACGAAUCAUUCUUACCUUCUCUCCAAGAGCGUCUAUCUUUUUCUGCAUUUCAACCCAUUUCUGGAUCGUCAAAGUCGGAACUAUCAAGGUUACAACAAGAGAAAUUAAAAGCAAUGGAUAUGAAAGAUACAGUAGAGAGGUUAGAACUCUCAAUGACACUCAUAAAAGAGAACAUUUCCUCAGUUGCGGCCAAACUCGCCAUCCAAUCCUUGGAUAUUCGCUAAUAGAUAGACCAUACAAUAAGUCUCUCGUUGUAAAUGUGUGUUAUUCGUAAAACUUAGUGAAUAUUAUAUUACAGCCAAGAAAGUGUAUAUCUUGUUCGAAACUGUGAUUCAUAGGUGUAGAGAAGCAAUAAGACUAGAGCAAACAUUCACUCUU
Molecule: RNA transcript, 1254 nt
Organism: Camelina sativa (false flax)
Lineage: Eukaryota; Viridiplantae; Streptophyta; Magnoliopsida; Brassicales; Brassicaceae
Source: RefSeq, a predicted model, not a curated record